AGCAGCCGCGGUAAUUCCAGCUCCAAUAGCGUAUAUUAAAGUUGUUGCAGUUAAAAAGCUCGUAGUUGAAUUUCGGGAUCAAGUCGUCGGUCGUGCCUCGGUACGCACUGGUGACAUUGGUUUCUCCCUUCUGAAGAACCUUGAUGUCAUUAAUUUGGUGUCUUGGGGAAUCAGGACUGUUACUUUGAAAAAUUAGAGUGUUUAAAGCAGGCUCACGCUUGAAUACAUUAGCAUGGAAUAAUGAAAUAGGACGUUUGAUUCUAUUUUGUUGGUUUCUAGGAUCGACGUAAUGAUUAAUAGGGAUAGUUGGGGGCAUUAGUAUUCAAUUGUCAGAGGUGAAAUUCUUGGAUUUAUUGAAGACUAACUACUGCGAAAGCAUUUGCCAAGGAUGUUUUCAUUAAUCAAGAACGAAAGUUAGGGGAUCGAAGACGAUCAGAUACCGUCGUAGUCUUAACCAUAAACUAUGCCGACUAGGGAUCGGAUGAUGUUAAUUUUUAAUGACUCAUUCGGCGCCUUAAC
Molecule: ribosomal RNA, 519 nt
Filed under: uncultured Glomeromycotina
Lineage: Eukaryota; Fungi; Glomeromycota
Description: SSU rRNA
Rfam family: Eukaryotic small subunit ribosomal RNA
Source: RNAcentral